This is an RNA transcript of Salmo salar (Atlantic salmon), 2816 nucleotides long. It is a transcript of the gene named mitochondrial coenzyme A transporter SLC25A16-like, with no coding region annotated. The record is from RefSeq and is a predicted model, not a curated record. NCBI's taxonomy places the organism in Eukaryota, Metazoa, Chordata, Actinopteri, Salmoniformes, Salmonidae.
CACUCGAUCUGUGCACAUGAAGGGCAACAGUUAGUGAUCAUAAAAACAUGUGCCUUAACCCUUCAUACAUACAUUUAACCGGUAGCCAGUUGUUUUUUGUAUUGCUGUUUGUCUAAGCACGUUUGGCUAUUCUUUAGCUACGCGUUUCUCGCAAAAAUAGUGACCGGAAACUGAACUCACAAUUGUCGCUCGGUGAGGUUGUCUCAACGAGUGCCCGCUAGACAGGUUUCUUUGGGGAAUCAGGAAGAGAUGGAGGCUACCUGCAAAUGCUAACGCGCCGCUAGCGAGAUCCGUUUUGCAACGUUUGUUCAUCUGACAGUGUUGACCUUGCAGUGGUUAUGGAUGCAUUCGGGUCCUGAUUGAACUCACACAUCAUGGCAAUGGAUGCUGCAGUCUCCAUCUGUGGUCGUCCUGUGAUCCCCAACCACACUCAGGCGGACUAUCACUUUGUCCGUUCCUUCGUAGCUGGAGGUGUAGCAGGAUGAUGUGCCAAAUACACCAUCGCUCCUUUGGACAGAGUGAAGAUCUUACUGUAAGCCAACAGUCCCCACAACAAAGACCUGGGUAAGAUCUGGAUAACUCUGCUGCAGUGGAAGUGUUACUGAACAUGUAAACAUGUCUGUCUUUUGUCAGUUGGUUUGUCAUUGUCACUCAUGUAUCCCCCCUCCCAUGGAAAUCUGACACUGGUUUUCCUUGUUCUCACACCUGGUUGCAGCGAAAACGAAACUAUGACAUCCCUCCACACAAUUAUCUCUUGCUUAUUUCUCUCCUUCACGCUCUCUCCCCUCCCUCUCUCCUCGAGGUGUGGUAGCUACUCUCCGUGUCAUGCCAAGGAAGGAGGGUUACCUGGGGCUUUAUAAAGGCAAUGGGCCCAUGAUGGUCAGGAUAUUUCCCUACGGAGCUAUCCAGUUCAUGGCCUUUGACAAAUACAAGAAGAUCCUUAGUUAACAGCUGGGCGUCUCUGGACACAUCCACAUGGUCGGUUCUAUGGCAGGGAUGACAGCAGUGAUAUGUACGUACCCUCUUGAUGUGAUCAGAGCCUGUCUGGCUUACUAGAUGAAAGGACACCAUCGCUACACGGGCAUCAGAAAUGCCUUCCAGACCAUAUACCUAAAGGAGGCAUCCCUGGGACAGAUCCCAACCCUUAUAGGCAUGACUCCAUAUGCAGGGUUCUUGUUCUUUACCUUCAGCACGUUGAAGACUUCCGUCCUCAGACAACCCAGAGGUGCUGAUGCUGAAGACCCACGUCAACCUGCUCUGUGGAAGGGGUGGCCGGAGCUAUCGCACAGACCAUAUCACCUACCCUAUUCUCCUCUCCCUGUUCCCCACUUUUCUUCUACCUCUACAUGUCUUCUCUACCUGUUCGCCUCUUCUCCUCUCCCUCUUCCCCCUUCUCUUCUCCAUCUCCUCUACAUGUUCUUCUCUUCUCCACUCCCUGUUCACCUCUUCUUCGUCUCCUCUACUUGUUCGCCUCUUCUCCUCUCCCUCUUCCCCCUUCUCUUCUCCAUCUCCUCUACAUGUUCUUCUCUUCUCCACUCCCUGUUCACCUCUUCUUCGUCUCCUCUACUUGUUCUUCUCUUCUCCUCUCCCUCUUCCCCCUUCUCUUCUCCAUCUCCUCUACAUGUUCUUCUCUUCUCCACUCCCUGUUCACCUCUUCUUUGUCUCCUCUACCUGUUCUUCUCCUCUCCCUGUUCCCCCCUUCUCUUCUCUGUCUCCUGUCCAGAGUACUCCUCUUCUCCGUCUCCUCUCCCAGCUAUCCUCUGGAUGUUGCCAGGAGGAGGAUGCAGUUAGGAGUGGUGCUUCCUGAAUCUGACAAAUGUCGUACCCUGACCAAGACUCUUGAGUAUGUAUACAGUCAGUAUGGGGUGAAGAAGGGUCUGUACAGAGGCCUGUCUCUCAACUACAUCUGCUGUGUGCCCUCACAGGCUGUGGCCUUUUUCACCUAUGAGUUGAUGAAGCAAACCCUCCACCUCAACUAGCUGCUCCCUCACCAUCCACCUCCACCCUUCAUCUCUGCAUAGCGGGAAUGAGACACGUUCACUGGGGAUAAACGUUCUGAAAUGUUUAGAAAGAUCCCUAGCAGCUGUCUAUCUCAAAACAGCCUGACUGAGAGUGUUCUCUGGGGCUAUAUGUUCUGAAAUGUUAAGGGAAUAUUGCCUAUUAGAUAUGUUCAUUUUGCCCUAGUAAACGUUUUCAGUUUUAAGGAGGUCGGCUUCCAUUCGGAGGUGUUGACCCCUGCUAUCAGAGGCGGCCAUUGUGGCUCAGCCACUGGAGCCGAGCCGAGCCUAGUAGCUGCUUACCCCAGUCGGAAAGCAGAGGAAUGCUAGGCACUGGGCCCCAUGGCAGUGCUAAUCCAGUGCCCAUGUCUGUGUCUGUUCCUAUAAUGUUGUGCUGAAACCAACCGCCAAACCUGUGGCUUGGCUUUGGACAACACCCCGGCAACUAUUGCCAUGGAUACCUAUAGACAAUGGCUUCUUCCUCCGCUUCGAUGGGCGGCUAUGGGCAAUGAACCCCUAACAACACUCGUUGGUAAUGCCAUAAAAACCCAAUUCUGUACACUGCCCCCCACCCUACCCCACCACCCGCUCCUAAGAAGUCACCCAGCCAAUGAUGGAGGGGAAAGUCACACUGGACAAUCUGGCUUAUCCAAUCGGAGGCCUUCUUUUCAUCAUGUACCUACCUGACACUGUUUGUUGUGAGUACAAAUCUAGACACAUAAUGAGACAAGGAUUUAAAUGUGUAGUAUGUCAGUUAUAAGAGUGAAGAUUCUAGGACAACUAUAAAAUAUUUAAUGAGAAUAAAGAAACACUCCCCAA